This 479-nucleotide ribosomal RNA is filed under the name uncultured bacterium. Its description in RNAcentral is "partial 16S ribosomal RNA". It matches the Rfam family "Bacterial small subunit ribosomal RNA", at positions 28 to 507 of the family's 1533-position model. The record is from RNAcentral.
GACGAACGCUGGCGGCGUGCUUAACACAUGCAAGUCGAACGAAGCUUGAUUACGGAUUCUUCGGAUGAAGUAUGAUAUGACUGAGUGGCGGACGGGUGAGUAACGCGUGAGUAACCUGCCCUUCAGAGGGGGAUAGCGUUUGGAAACGAACGGUAAUACCGCAUAAUGUAUUUUGACCGCAUGAUCGAAAUACCAAAGAUUUAUCGCUGAAGGAUGGACUCGCGUCUGAUUAGGUAGUUGGUGGGGUAACGGCCUACCAAGCCGACGAUCAGUAGCCGGACUGAGAGGUUGAUCGGCCACAUUGGGACUGAGACACGGCCCAGACUCCUACGGGAGACAGCAGUGGGGAAUAUUGCACAAUGGGCGCAAGCCUGAUGCAGCAACGCCGCGUGAAGGAAGACGGUUUUCGGAUUGUAAACUUCUGUUCUUAGUGAAGAAUAAUGACGGUAGCUAAGGAGCAAGCCACGGCUAACUACGUG